GUGAUGAAUUUUCCGCAAUGGGCGAAAGCCUGACGGAGCAAUGCCGCGUGGAGGAUGAAGGCCUAUGGGUUGUAAACUUCUUUUCUCAGAAAAGAAUUAUGACGGUAUCUGAGGAAUAAGCAUCGGCUAACUCUGUGCCAGCAGCCGCGGUAAGACAGAGGAUGCAAGCGUUAUCCGGAAUGAUUGGGCGUAAAGCGUCUGUAGGUUGUUUAAAAAGUAUUCUGUCAAAGAUUAGGGCUUAACCCUAGAUAGGCAGAAUAAACUUUUAAGCUAGAGGUUGGUAGAGGCAGAGGGAAUUCCCGGUGGAGCGGUGAAAUGCGUAGAUAUCGGGAGGAACACCAAAGGCGAAGGCACUCUGCUGGGCCAAGACUAACACUGAGAGACGAAAGCGAGGGGAGCAAAUGGGAUUAGAAACCCCAGUAGUCC
Molecule: ribosomal RNA, 426 nt
Filed under: uncultured bacterium
Lineage: Bacteria
Description: bacterial SSU rRNA
Rfam family: Bacterial small subunit ribosomal RNA
Source: RNAcentral